AGAGUUUGAUCMUGGCUCAGAACGAACGCUGGCGGCGUGCCUAACACAUGCAAGUCGAGCGCGAAAGUCCCUUCGGGGGCGAGUAGAGCGGCGGACGGGUGAGUAAUACAUGGAUAAUCUCCCCUCGAGCCCGGGAUAACCCUGCGAAAGUGGGGCUAAUACCGGAUAAGACCACGUUACCCAGGUAAUGCGGGAAAAGGUGGCUUUAUUUCGGAUGAGGCUAUCACUUGAGGAUGAGUCCAUGGCCUAUCAGCUUGUUGGUGAGGUAAAGGCUUACCAAGGCGAUGACGGGUAGCUGGUCUAAGAGGACGACCAGCCACACUGGGACUGAGACACGGCCCAGACUCCUACGGGAGGCAGCAGUGGGGAAUAUUGSGCAAUGGGSGMAASCCUGACSCAGCGACGCCGCGUGGGUGAUGAAGGCCUGCGGGUUGUAAAGCACUUUUAGUGGGGAUGAAAAGCUCGGGGCUAAUACCUCCGGGUCUUGACCUAACCCAAAGAAAAAGCACCGGCUAACUCUGUGCCAGCAGCCGCGGUAAUA
RNAcentral lists this ribosomal RNA (541 nucleotides) under bacterium enrichment culture clone Cont52_3131. RNAcentral describes it as "bacterial SSU rRNA". It matches the Rfam family "Bacterial small subunit ribosomal RNA", at positions 8 to 525 of the family's 1533-position model. The record is from RNAcentral.